This 327-nucleotide unclassified non-coding RNA is filed under the name Hevea brasiliensis (rubber tree). The record is from RNAcentral. Lineage: Eukaryota; Viridiplantae; Streptophyta; Magnoliopsida; Malpighiales; Euphorbiaceae.
GUCUAAACCUCCUGCAAAUGCCAAAGUUGAACCUUCUGAAGUACCAGAAAAUAAAUCUGGCCAUCAUGCUGGCACCCUGCUUAAAGAGCAAAAUGAACCUGCUACACCCCUGCUACACCUCAUGCAGGAUGUUCAAGCAUUAAAACUGAACUUGAAAACAAGAGAGAAUUGAAUAAUGUAAUGAAUAAAACAGAUAUUGCUACACCCCAAAGUAAUGGCAAUUCAAGCUCAAAGUACUCAUUUCUUCUGGAUGAUGAUCAUGAUGGUAAUGAGUCAGGAACAGAGGAUGAGCAAUGGGCAUUUAUGAAGGAGCUUGAAAAUUUCUUU